Daucus carota subsp. sativus is the source of this 2673-nucleotide long non-coding RNA. RefSeq lists it as uncharacterized. Lineage: Eukaryota; Viridiplantae; Streptophyta; Magnoliopsida; Apiales; Apiaceae. The record is from RefSeq and is a predicted model, not a curated record. The transcript is spliced from 2 exons.
AUUUAAUUUAUUAUAAGACUUUUAGGUAAAUGAAUUGUAUAAAAAUAAGAUACCUAAGUGGAAGAGUUUCUUUCCUAUAAAAAAGUCUUUUACCUAAUUCAGAGAGCAUUGUUCACAAAAUUUUGAUAUAAAAUUCUUAAAUAUUUAGAAAAGAACAUUAAAAAAAUGUGAAAUUGAAAAGAAAAUGUCUCUGAAGCAAAACUCUUGAAAUGAUCUCGGAAAUUUAGUUGGUAAAAUUAUGAUAGUAUCGAUUAUACUGAUGAUCUCCUAAAGCAAGUCUUAUUGAAUAUUUGAAUUGCACUACACUUUCGAGAAAUACCAAAGGACAUGUAAAGAAACAAUAAAAUAGCUAGAUUUCCAUGAAUGAUGAAUGAAAAACAGUUUAUAAAGAAAUAGGUUUUGAGAUUUUAGAAGGUACCGAGAAAUCCAGUCUAGCACAUGCAAAUAUGCUAGCAUCUCAAUACUUUACAACAAUUUCAAAACAAAUAUUGUUGAUAUUAUAGUCUAUGUAUAUAACAUCCGAGCCCUUGCCGGACCCAACCAUCCAUAAUAGAUUAGUCGGAAAAUACUAGCAAAUUGGUAUAUAGUAGUUCUUUGCUCGUGUUUACAAAGUCCUGGUCAAUGAGGCUAUUACAAUGUUAGUAUCAUAAUAACAUAUUUGGAUGUUAAAUAAAAUAUGUUUAAUCUUGUUGAUUUGGUUGUGACUGGAACAAGAACAUCAAACAUUGAUCAAAACACUAAACAGUCCUGGGAUCCCUCUAAUCCAUUCUGUGAAAAAAAAACAGAAGAAUUACUAUACCUGAUGCUGAUAAGGGCGCGACAAGGGCACACAAAUGUUGUCAUCUCUGCCCCUUGUUAACGCUAUAUGGUGUUGAUGGUAUAGUCACGACGAAACUUUGAUGCAGGUAUGGCCAAUAACCAGUCCCCAGCACUUCCCAUCCUGGUGUAGGAAUCUCUUGAAGCAGAUGUCGUCGAGGCCCCUCAGGUCCUACUACUAAGCAAGUUGGUAUAACAAAAUGUGUCUGGAAAAACGACUGCUCAUACGUAUCGUGACAGACAUUUUGGACUCUAUUGGGAUGGCUUUGAGCUGAAGAAAUUAAUCCUGAGGGUGGUUAAUGUGUCUUAUCUCGAGGAAAAAUAAUGUUUGGACAAGAAAACUGAUGCUCCUGUGGAACUGGUGGCGCCUUCAUUAGGACUAAGAGCAGCUCUUGAUUGAUUCUGGUGGUAUUGGUUCUUGUUAAUGCUUUUAUUUUAAUCUACAAAAAUUCAAAAUAUAUUUUCCAGAGUUAGAUGACCGACGCUCACAACUCUUGAGGUGACGUGAAAAAUCACUUAAUGGAUCGUAUAAAUUUAACACUCUCCUUUCAAACAAAUCAAACACCUAAAAACCUCGUGGAUUUGAUCAUCGCUCCUGCUAGUAAAAUUAUUCGGUUUCAUGAAUUAUGGAAUGUAGGGAGUACAGAGGAGACCGAGAUGGUCAUGCCUGGGGUAAAGAACUAAUGAUCAACGACCUAAUAGUGGAGCUGUGGGGUUUAGGUUCUUGCCUCCCUGUUGCAGCCACAGUCUCUGAUGGUCCAUUCUACUGAAGCUCUUUCUUGUUUUCUAGUAAGAAGACAACAUGGGUCAUGGGCCUUAAUCUCUUCUACCAAUAUUGAGGAAAAAAAUAAAGUGGACAGGAGAAUCAAACAGACAUAUGUCUUCACUCCAAAUGCUUCAUCUCUAUACAGAAUGUGAUGUUAGACUAUUCCUAUCUUUGCAAUCUCAAUCCCAGAUAAUAGUUCUUCCAACAUGUUAGAUUGUUACUAUUCAUCGAGCAUUCAUUUUUUUCCCAAAUAUUUAGAAGGAAAAGUAUUAUCAGUUCCUAACAUGCUAAAUUGUUGUAACAAUUAGAAAAUCAGGAGUUGAAAGAAAAGUACUUUUGAUUAAAUACAUAGCUUAAAAGUUUAGCAACAUAACCUGUAUUUUUAUUUAUCUCAAGGGAAUAAGUAUAAACAUACUGUAUCAAACACACUAACUAGGCUAUAUAUACGAAACAUAGUUCAAGUAAUUUCUUUUAAUGAUCAACAUGAUAGAAAAAGUAUCCUCAGAGCUAGAGCUGAGCUAAUUGUCUGAGAUUAAAUGGAGAAAUGUCGUCAGUAUUGCCAUCCAUUAAACGCUUGGCGAGGAUGGAAUUAGUAACAUCACUUGGAUGAUAUGCAUCCCAAAAUACAUACUUAGACCUGUCUGGACAAACUGCAGAUGGACCAGGACCACAAGGGAUUAUACCGCCACGACGCCCUGCAGAAAAGCAGCAUGCUGAGUUUGCAUUCUCAAAGCCUGUUGAAAAAUAAGUGAUUUAUAAUCAGAUUUUCGCCUAUGUAGACAUCAUAUCAGAUGUUGAAUUAUAAAUCACUUUUACCAUAUGAUUUGUAGUUUUGAAGGAUGUCAACAAAAAUGUGGUUAACAUUAGCAUAAAGAAAUGUUGAUCCACUAAGCUUAGCUGUAAGCUCUGUAAGAAGACUCUUUAACUGGCGAUUAAAUGAUUGCACGAUCUGAUUCGCCCUGGUAGCACAGUUGUCCCCUAUUAUUAGGUUUACAUCCCUUUGAUAUGGUGUGCACCCUAGUGGCCCUACAUUUGGGACAAUAAACUUCCGGCCACCCAAAUUAUACAGUCUCUGCAAGAAGCCAAAAACA